RNAcentral lists this long non-coding RNA (216 nucleotides) under Carica papaya (papaya). Its description in RNAcentral is "long non-coding RNA (CPAP_LNC000883)". The record is from RNAcentral. Lineage: Eukaryota; Viridiplantae; Streptophyta; Magnoliopsida; Brassicales; Caricaceae.
AGAGAGAGAGAGAGAGAGAGAGAGAGAGAGUGUGAGGGAAAGGCAGAGAGAGAGAGAGAGAGAGAGAGAGAGAGAGAGAGAGAUAGGUAUUUCGAGGCCCAAACUGAAUCGAUUGGAAUUAGGGUUUUGUUUGAAUAGAAAAAGAGGAGAAAAAAAUAAAUAAAUAUUAUUUAAUACUAAAAUUAUUAUUUAAAAUAAAAUUUAAAAAAAAAAAAA